CAGCAGCCGCGGUAAAACGAAGGGUGCAAGCGUUACUCGGAAUUACUGGGCGUAAAGCGUGCGUAGGUGGUGGUUUAAGUCCGUUGUGAAAGCCCUGGGCUCAACCUGGGAAUUGCAGUGGAUACUGGGUCACUAGAGUGUGGUAGAGGAUAGUGGAAUUUCCGGUGUAGCAGUGAAAUGCGUUGAGAUCGGAAAGAACACCAACGGCGAAAGCACUCUGCUGGGCCGACACUGACACUGAGAGACGAAAGCUAGGGGAGCAAAUGGGAUUAGAUACCCGUGUAGUCCCUGUCUCUUAUAC
RNAcentral lists this ribosomal RNA (301 nucleotides) under uncultured bacterium. Its description in RNAcentral is "partial 16S ribosomal RNA". It matches the Rfam family "Bacterial small subunit ribosomal RNA", at positions 509 to 807 of the family's 1533-position model. The record is from RNAcentral.